Archocentrus centrarchus (flier cichlid) is the source of this 262-nucleotide long non-coding RNA. RefSeq lists it as uncharacterized. Lineage: Eukaryota; Metazoa; Chordata; Actinopteri; Cichliformes; Cichlidae. The transcript is spliced from 3 exons. The record is from RefSeq and is a predicted model, not a curated record.
AAUAGAGUGGUUUGUCCAUUUCAGGACACCGUAUUUCCUCUUUAAUCUCGCUUGUUCACAAUCACAUGAUUAUCCCGCUUGUCAAUGCAAAUGGAGAUACACGGCUCUGCAAAAUCCGCUGUCAUCCUUUGAGUAAAGAUAUGAAUGUGGUCUUGUAAAAACUGUGGGAUGACUGCAUCGACAAGAAUCCAUCUACUAAACACUACAGAUAAGUGCUGAGUUCACUUGCAUUACCACCAUCCCACUUAUCAGUUUAUGGCGC